AAGUCGUAACAAGGUUUCCGUAGGUGAAGUAUACGCUCGUUUGCCUACCGAAACUUUGCAGCAGCGACACUAAACAAUUGCUCCAGUCGGCCCCAUUAUGGGGUCCGGCGACGCCAUCAAUUUGCGCUGGGAGCUCCCUUUGGGGGGACGCGACCAGCAGCUCGUAAAAGAGUUCACAGAUCAAACAAUGGCGGCCACUUUCGUGGUUCAGAUAUGACCGGCCCCAGCCUAUAUGGUUGGCGAUUCUUGCGGAACCUGCGGAAGGAUCAUUACCGAGAGAGGGGCUUCGCGCUCCCGGGGGCUCCGGCCCCCAACUCUUCACCCACUGUCUAUCUACCUUUGUUGCUUUGGCAGGCCCCGGGGUGCUCCCCGCGCCGGCUAUUCGCCGGUGAGUGCCUGUCAGAAGCCCCAUUAAACUCUGUUUAUCAAUGAUGUCCGAGCGAAACUAAUAGAAAAAA
RNAcentral lists this unclassified non-coding RNA (458 nucleotides) under plant metagenome. RNAcentral describes it as "partial contains small subunit ribosomal RNA and internal transcribed spacer 1". The record is from RNAcentral.